This 104-nucleotide small nuclear RNA is filed under the name Carlito syrichta (Philippine tarsier). The record is from RNAcentral. Lineage: Eukaryota; Metazoa; Chordata; Mammalia; Primates; Tarsiidae.
GUUCUUGCUUCAGCAGCACAGACACUAAAAUUGCAACAGUACAGAGAUUAGCAUGGCCCCUGCACAAGAAUGAGAUGCAAACCUGUAAAGUGUUCCAUAUGGGA